This 483-nucleotide ribosomal RNA is filed under the name uncultured bacterium. RNAcentral's name for it is "partial 16S ribosomal RNA". It matches the Rfam family "Bacterial small subunit ribosomal RNA", at positions 30 to 507 of the family's 1533-position model. The record is from RNAcentral.
AUUGAACGCUGGCGGCAGGCCUAACACAUGCAAGUCGAGCGGAUGAAGGGAGCUUGCUCCUGGAUUCAGCGGCGGACGGGUGAGUAAUGCCUAGGAAUCUGCCUGGUAGUGGGGGAUAACGUCCGGAAACGGGCGCUAUACCGCAUACGUCCUGAGGGAGAAAGUGGGGGAUCUUCGGACCUCACGCUAUCAGAUGAGCUUAGGUCGGAUUAGCUAGUUGGUGGGGUAAAGGCCUACCAAGGCGACGAUCCGUAACUGGUCUGAGAGGAUGAUCAGUCACACUGGAACUGAGACACGGUCCAGACUCCUACGGGAGGCAGCAGUGGGGAAUAUUGGACAAUGGGCGAAAGCCUGAUCCAGCCAUGCCGCGUGUGUGAAGAAGGUCUUCGGAUUGUAAAGCACUUUAAGUUGGGAGGAAGGGCAGUAAGUUAAUACCUUGCUGUUUUGACGUUACCAACAGAAUAAGCACCGGCUAACUUCGUG